This 253-nucleotide ribosomal RNA is filed under the name uncultured bacterium. Its description in RNAcentral is "partial 16S ribosomal RNA". It matches the Rfam family "Bacterial small subunit ribosomal RNA", at positions 524 to 776 of the family's 1533-position model. RNAcentral also lists the same sequence under 1 other name. The record is from RNAcentral.
UACGGAGGGGGCUAGCGUUGUUCGGAAUUACUGGGCGUAAAGCGCACGUAGGCGGACCGGAAAGUUGGGGGUGAAAUCCCGGGGCUCAACCCCGGAACUGCCUUCAAAACUAUCGGUCUGGAGUUCGAGAGAGGUGAGUGGAAUUCCGAGUGUAGAGGUGAAAUUCGUAGAUAUUCGGAGGAACACCAGUGGCGAAGGCGGCUCACUGGCUCGAUACUGACGCUGAGGUGCGAAAGCGUGGGGAGCAAACAGG